UACGUAGGGUGCAAGCGUUGUCCGGAAUUAUUGGGCGUAAAGCGUCCGCAGGUGGCUGUGUAAGUCUGCUGUUAAAGAGUCUAGCUCAACUAGAUACAAGCAGUGGAAACUACACGGCUAGAGUACGUUCGGGGCAGAGGGAAUUCCUGGUGUAGCGGUGAAAUGCGUAGAGAUCAGGAAGAACACCGGUGGCGAAGGCGCUCUGCUAGGCCGUAACUGACACUGAGGGACGAAAGCUAGGGGAGCGAAUGGG
RNAcentral lists this ribosomal RNA (253 nucleotides) under uncultured bacterium. RNAcentral's name for it is "partial 16S ribosomal RNA". It matches the Rfam family "Bacterial small subunit ribosomal RNA", at positions 524 to 776 of the family's 1533-position model. The record is from RNAcentral.